GACGAACGCUGGCGGCGUGCUUAACACAUGCAAGUCGAACGGAAAGGCCCUGCUUUUGUGGCGUGCUCGAGUGGCGAACGGGUGAGUAACACGUGAGUAACCUGCCCUUGACUUUGGGAUAACUUCAGGAAACUGGGGCUAAUACCGGAUAGGAGCUCCUGCUGCAUGGGGGGGGUUGGAAAGUUUCGGCGGUGGGGGAUGGACUGGCGGCUUAUCAGCUUGUUGGUGGGGGAGUGGCUUACCAAGGAUUUGACGGGUAGCCGGCCUGAGCGGGUGACCGGCCACCAUGGGGCUGAGGUACCGCCGCGACUCCUCCGGGGGGCAGCAGUGGGGAAUAUUGCACAAUGGGCGGAAGCCUGAUGCAGCAACGCCGCGUGCGGGAUGACGGCCUUCGGGUUGUAAACCGCUUUCGCCUGUGACGAAGCGUGAGUGACGGUAAUGGGUAAAGAAGCACCGGCUAACUACGUG
This 468-nucleotide ribosomal RNA is filed under the name uncultured bacterium. RNAcentral's name for it is "partial 16S ribosomal RNA". It matches the Rfam family "Bacterial small subunit ribosomal RNA", at positions 28 to 507 of the family's 1533-position model. The record is from RNAcentral.